Molecule: non-coding RNA, 18 nt
Filed under: Arabidopsis thaliana (thale cress)
Lineage: Eukaryota; Viridiplantae; Streptophyta; Magnoliopsida; Brassicales; Brassicaceae
Source: RNAcentral
UGGGCUUAGAUGAUGAGC